CGGAGGAUCCAAGGCGUUAUCCGGAAUCAUUGGGUUUAAAGGGUCCGUAGGCGGGUUUAUAAGUCAGUGGUGAAAGCCCAUCGCUCAACGAUGGAACGGCCAUUGAUACUGUAGAUCUUGAAUUAUUAGGAAGUAACUAGAAUAUGUAGUGUAGCGGUGAAAUGCUUAGAGAUUACAUGGAAUACCAAUUGCGAAGGCAGGUUACUACUAAUGGAUUGUCGCUGAUGGACGAAAGCGUGGGUAGCGAACAGGAUUAGAUACCCUGGUAGUCCACGCCGUAAACGAUGGAUACUAGCUGUUCGGAGCAAUCUGAGUGGCUAAGCGAAAGUGAUAAGUAUCCCACCUGGGGAGUACGUUCGCAAGAAUG
RNAcentral lists this ribosomal RNA (367 nucleotides) under uncultured organism. RNAcentral describes it as "bacterial SSU rRNA". It matches the Rfam family "Bacterial small subunit ribosomal RNA", at positions 526 to 896 of the family's 1533-position model. The record is from RNAcentral.